CGUAUAUUAAAAUUGUUGCGGUUAAAACGUUCGAAGUUGAUUAUUGUCCAGUACGGGUGUUACACCAUCAAGUAAAUGGUUGUAAUCACUUUCCGAUUACUUGGACUCGCAUAUGUCUGAACACCCAAAUGGAUAACAUUCGAUACCUUUUAUUAGGUUGUCAUUGUUAUUUAGUUCAGCUUACUAUUACCUUGAACAAAUUAAGGUGCUCAAAGCAGGCUUCUCUAUGCCUUGAAUAUUUUUGCAUGGAAUAA
Molecule: ribosomal RNA, 254 nt
Filed under: Clinotanypus nervosus
Lineage: Eukaryota; Metazoa; Arthropoda; Insecta; Diptera; Chironomidae
Description: partial 18S ribosomal RNA
Rfam family: Eukaryotic small subunit ribosomal RNA
Source: RNAcentral